This 468-nucleotide ribosomal RNA is filed under the name uncultured bacterium. Its description in RNAcentral is "partial 16S ribosomal RNA". It matches the Rfam family "Bacterial small subunit ribosomal RNA", at positions 28 to 507 of the family's 1533-position model. The record is from RNAcentral.
GACGAACGCUGGCGGCGUGCUUAACACAUGCAAGUCGAACGGAAAGGCCCUGCUUUUGUGGGGUGCUCGAGUGGCGAACGGGUGAGUAACACGUGAGUAACCUGCCCUUGACUUUGGGAUAACUUCAGGAAACUGGGGCUAAUACCGGAUAGGAGCUCCUGCUGCAUGGUGGGGGUUGGACAGUUUCGGCGGUUGGGGAUGGACUCGCGGCUUAUCAGCUUGUUGGUGGGGUAGUGGCUUACCAAGGCUUUGACGGGUAGCCGGCCUGAGAGGGUGACCGGCCACAUUGGGACUGAGAUACGGCCCAGACUGCUACGGGAGGCAGCAGUGGGGAAUAUUGCACAAUGGGCGGAAGCCUGAUGCAGCAACGCCGCGUGCGGGAUGAAGGCCUUCGGGUUGUAAACCGCUUUCGCCUGUGACGAAGCGUGAGUGACGGUAAUGGGUAAAGAAGCACCGGCUAACUACGUG